Molecule: ribosomal RNA, 253 nt
Filed under: uncultured bacterium
Lineage: Bacteria
Description: partial 16S ribosomal RNA
Rfam family: Bacterial small subunit ribosomal RNA
Source: RNAcentral
UACGAAGGGGGCUAGCGUUGUUCGGAAUCACUGGGCGUAGAGCGCACGUAGGCGGACUUUCAAGUCAGGGGUGAAAUCCCGGAGCUCAACUUCGGAAUUGCCUUUGAUACUGUUGGUCUCGAGUCCGGAAGAGGUGGGUGGAAUUCCUAGUGUAGAGGUGAAAUUCAUAGAUAUUAGGAAGAACACCGGUGGCGAAGGCGGCCCACUGGUCCGGUACUGACGCUGAGGUGCGAAAGCGUGGGGAGCAAACAGG